This 53-nucleotide microRNA precursor is filed under the name Ictalurus punctatus (channel catfish). RNAcentral's name for it is "microRNA ipu-mir-7559 precursor". Lineage: Eukaryota; Metazoa; Chordata; Actinopteri; Siluriformes; Ictaluridae. The record is from miRBase by way of RNAcentral.
UGCCACACGACUGCUCAGCUCAGCCCUGUUGCGCUGUGCAGUCCUGUGGUGCC